AUGCGGUUUUUAUCUGAAGAAGAAGCUUAUUCCUUCUAUAACAAGUAUGCUUAUUCCAUGGGUUUUAGCAUCCGAAGAGGCAAUCAACAUAAAGUAAAAAAUUAUAGUACAAUACAACAACGAACAUUCACAUGUUCUCGUCAAGGAGUUCGUGCGGAAGAUAAAAGAGAGGAGAAAUUAAGUUAUAGUAGGCCUGAGACACGAUGUGGUUGUGAUGCACGUAUGAAGAUAAGUCUUAAUAAUGGGAUUUAUUAUGUAUACGAAUUUAAGGAAGCCCACAACCAUAGUCUUGCUACUGGAAAUAUGUCGCAAUACUUAAGAUCACACAGGAAAGUAACUGAAGCUCAACUAGCCAAUGCCGAGGUCGCAAAGUCAGUGGGCAUUUCAAAUAAAGCAACUAUUGAUCUAAUGACGAAAGAGGCAUGUGGACCUGAAAACCUUGGAUUUAUAAGCACAGACAUGAAAAAUCGUUUGUACUCAAAGAGAACACUAAAAGCAAAGGUGGGUGACACUGGUGGAGUGUUAGAAUAUAUGGAGAAGAAGGUUUCAGAAGAUGUCAAGUUUUUUUAUUCAAUUCAAGUUGAUGAGGAUGAUUUGAUAACUAAUAUAUUUUGGACGGACUCCAAAAUGGUCUCAGACUAUGCAUUAUUUGGUGAUGUCUUAUGUUUUGACACCAUAUACAGGAAACUAGACGAUGGGCGUCCGUUUGGUAUAAUUGUUGGUGUAAAUAAUCACAAGAAAACAAUUGUGUUUGGUGCUGCACUUCUCUAUGCUGAAACGGCAGAAAGUUUUGCUUGA
RNAcentral lists this ribosomal RNA (798 nucleotides) under Triticum aestivum (bread wheat). Its description in RNAcentral is "partial small subunit ribosomal RNA". The record is from RNAcentral. Lineage: Eukaryota; Viridiplantae; Streptophyta; Magnoliopsida; Poales; Poaceae.